GCUGGGGCGGCCGGGGCGGGGAGGCCGGGCGGCGCCGGCGAGCCGCGAGGACCCUGCGCAGUGGGCCGGGCGCGAGCCCGCUCCCGUCCCCUCCGGAGCGGGCGGAGGGAGGAAGUGGAGCCCGGGGGUGGGAGCGAGGCCCGCGGCGGACCCCCGCUCCGUCCCUCUGGGAGCCGCGGACCCAGCCCGCCGCGGGGUUGGGUCUUGCCUCUCCUCUUGGAUUGGAAGGCAGAGGCUGUCUCCAAACCAGCCGGCCUCGGAGGCGUGUUUGGUAAGAGUUUGGCAAAGAUUCUUGGGCUGAGGGGAGGCUGUUCAAGGGACGCGUUGAUGGAGCGCCCCUGGCCCCUGGACAGCACUUUGCCCAAGCUCUCUGGACUCUGUUGUCUUGAGGGUCACAAGAUCUUCCAUAGCCCCUACUUUGGACAGACUUAGGAUUGGUGCCUGGAAGCCAGCAGCAGCCGCACCGACAGGAACACGGAUCAGGGUUGUCACCCCUAGUUUUGCAGAAGAAAACAAAAUAAUUCCAGGCUCCGUGUUUAGCAACUUACAUGCGUUCCUCACAAAAGCCCUGGCAGGUAGCAAUUACUUUACCCAUGUUAUAGGAAGGAAACUGAGACAGGCCCCCGACCCCCAACUGAUUGGCUCAAGGUUAUACACAGAUCUGCUUCUUCCCAAAACUGUGGUUUAAUCUCCUCCAAAUGUGAAGGAAACUGAGGCCCAGGGAAGUUACAUCCAGCUAAUUGGUGCUAGGACAGGACAGAACCUCCCUCCCAGUUCCUCCUGUAUCUGGUCUCUGGUGUGUGCCUGGCUUUGUGCAGAGGAAUGCAUUUCUUCCCUAUCCUCCUCCGGAUCUAUUUUAAAAGAAAAGACAUUUCCUGUUCUUAAAGCCAAGUUCAAAUGCCACUGCUUUCCUGAUGCUUUCCCUGUGACACCACUUGAUACCUCUCAUGGGACUUAGCAAAUAAUUGCAACAAGGCAUACUAUGUGUUAGUUAAACCUAACUUGAGGGCCCACGGUGUGCCGGACUGAAGGCCUACUAUGUCUGUAAACUCCCCUCCUUGCAGGCAGGAAGCACAUUGUUUAGGUUUCUCUUUUAUCUCACAUAAGAUGCUUUUAAAAUUCUCUAGGGAAGGAGUGAACAGUUAUGUUUCUGUCCUCAACAAGCUGCAUUGGAUUUGAAGAAAUACGCAGAAACAUGCUAAGGACUAACACCCAAGGUUGAGAAUAGAAAUGUAAAGAGAACUUGGACAGCAAACUAUUGGGCUGUAUGCAGGAAGUCCUUCUGGGGCUGAAAUACCUCAAAGAAUGGAUUUGCAUAGGAGAGCAGGGAGGAUAUUUCUGUGGCAGAAGUGGGGUGAGUUCAGGACACCUGCCUCUGCAUGAAGGGUGUGUGCUGCAUAUAGAGAUGAGCCAGUGGAGUGGGUCCAGAUGCCAGAGGGCUACAAUAGUCACUAUUAGUGAGGGAGGCCAGAGUAAAUUAUAGCAGGUCCUGCAGCGGAACCUGCUAUAACAUAAUCAUCUGCCCCAGACAGAGGACCAUCCUCACACUUGGUGGCUACCAGGAACGAUAGUAAAAUACUUGGUUCCACAGGGCACAGGACGCUACCUGGGUGGCACAGAGAUGGCAGAGGAAAACGGACAACCCAGCAGAUUAGAAGGUUCUCAGAAGAACCUGCUUUAAAAACGGUCCAGCUGUGUUCAAAUUGUGCUUGGAAUUUCUAGUGCACAAAAGAGAUCAUCCUCCUUCAGGCAGUCAUCCAUGUCGGGGGCAGAGACAGUGAUAAUGCAGAACAGCUUGCUGGGGCCCAGCCAAAUGCUGGCCCCGGAGGCGGGAGACCUGCUUUUUGAGCCUUGGCUCUGCCACCAGUGUGACCUUGGGAAGUGUACUUAACCUCCUCUCGGAGUUUCAGGGUCACCCCUUCUGUAAAGUGCAUCUCUAAAGAUCGUAUUAUUUAUAUAAACCUCUUUCUUAGAGAGAAUAGUCAUCUGAUAUGGAGAACAGUUCAGUGAUACCUACGCUUUUUUUUUCAGCUGGCAGACUGCAGGCCAGAGAUAGAAUGGAAGGAUUCUCAGCUUGUGCUUCUACCUGGAAGAACAGAGGGUGGGGCGAGGGGACUGUAGCUUUCAGUGUUUCCCUCUCACCGUUUUUUUCCUCUGGGCGCAGUGAGUAUGAUGGUUAAGAUGGCUCUGGAACAAACCAACUUGGGUUCAGACUCAAUGGACUACAGAGUGUGACCUCUCUGAACCUCAGUGUCUUCAUCUUUAAGAUGACAGUUACAAGAACUACUUUCCCAGGUUGUUGUAAGGAUUAAAUGAGAGACACCAUAUGACUCUAGACACAUAGAGGAAGGCUCCAUGAGAAAAAGGUAGCUAACAAUUUGCAGAGUCACCAGGGGCAAGUAUAACUUCACAGAGUUUCUGUGUCUAGACUUCAAGGAUUUUCUUUCAUCCUUAGUUCUUGGAUCUCCAGCACCAUAUGUGGCUUACAAACCACACGCUAUGAUGUGUUGAACUAAAAAAGGCAGCAGUGUUUUCCUUUAAGUAGGGCUCCACUGUGGUGUUUGGUUACACCCAGAGGAGGAGGCUGGCCAGUGGUCAUGGGAAUGUCUAGGGCAGCAAGGUCCAGUGGCUUUUGGAGAUUUCCAUUCUGCUGUCCCCUUUUCUGAGCCAGCACAGGACACAUUUAGGGGAGUUUCUCCUUCCCUUUUCCUCCUGACUCCUCCAUCCCUUCUCCCCAGAGUAUACUGGAUGGUCAGGAAUGCAGCUGGAACCAGAGACAUCUCCUCCGACCAACCCAACUUGCCUCAUAAAAUCUGCGGACAGUGCGGACCUUAGACUAUAGGGUGAAGAUUUGUAAGCCCACAGCCCUCUCGGUUUCCCUCAUUUCAGUUAGAAUGCAUGGAGCUCUCCCGUGAGGGCCGGUUGCCUCUUCUCCUGUUCCAGGUUGACAAGGCCCACAGAGGCCAACAUGAGCCCUGAAAUGCUCUCCAAACUGAGGGUGGAUGGAGGUGGGGGGAGUUCUCCUUCACAGUUGGCUUUUCGUCCUAAUUGCUUUCGGCAUCUCCCACUUCCAGUAAACUCCACGGUGAGUUACCUGCUGAUGGAGCCACUGGCAGCUCACAUGCGGGUUAUUGAAACAACCUCCCACCUGGCCUCCCAGACCAAGAACCUGCUGCCCUGUUGUCUGUUUUCAGCAUAAAGUCGAGAACAUCUUCACUUAAAUAUAAGUCAAUUCAUGUCACACCUCUAUCCAAAACCCUCUGAUGACUUUCCAAGACAGGACAAAAGCCAGAAUUUUUACAGUGACCUCUCUGUUCCCAUGUUCUGCCCCCUGCCACCUCUUAUCUCAUCCUGUUACACCCCUUGCUGACUGCCUUCUGGCCACAUGGGCCUCCUUGUUGCUCCUCAGUAUGUUCCUACCUCAGAGCUUUGGAAUUUUGUUCCCUGGGCCUGGCAACUUUACCCCAGGUAUCUACAAGGUUCUUUACUUCUUCAAAUUAAAUGCCACAUUGACCACCCUAUGUAAAGGAACUUUAUUUAGUUCUAUCUUCUAUCCCCAGUGCCUAGAAUGAUGCCUAGUGCUCAAAAAAUGUUACAAAUAUCACAUUAUUAAAACUUGUCUACAUAGGGCCUUCCCUUUCAUAAGACAUCCAAGAGGGAGAACAGUGGAAGGAAGGAACUCAAUGAGUAUGGCCUCCAAGAGCUCCAGCACUAUGAUCUUGGGAACGAUGACAAUGGCAGUGAUGAUGGUGGCAACGGUGGAGGUGAUUCGAUGGUAAGAUGGUGGUGAUGGGAUGGUGACAGUGGUGGCAGUGAUGACAUCUAUGACAAUGAGCAGGAUGAUUGCUGCCACUGCUGGGCUGCAAGAGAGCUUCAGUGACACACGCCCUGUGGUCUUUGGUAUUUACUGAUCGCUUGCUGAAUGCCAGGCACCGUGCCAGGAGUUUUACCUUCAUUACCUCCUCUCAUUUCAGUGAGUCUCUGGUGUAGGCACCACAGCAGCACAUAUCCAGUGCCCAUGACACUGGACCACUUGCCCAAGGGGACACUACUUAAGAAUUGCAGAACAGGCUAGAAUCUAGGCAAUUGAGCCUAAAACUCACUCUCUGAGCUGGCAUACAAAUGUACAGACAGAGGAGGACAGAGGGCCUGAAGGGUAAGUAAACCCCAGGUAAACCCC
This 4180-nucleotide long non-coding RNA is filed under the name Marmota monax (woodchuck). The record is from RNAcentral. Lineage: Eukaryota; Metazoa; Chordata; Mammalia; Rodentia; Sciuridae.